CUGCUUGUAAGCAAACUCUUUGUCACACACAGCAUUUCUGUUUAAAGUGAGCAAAAACAAGGAAACCUUUUUUCCUUUUCAACUUUUGUUCUACAAACAUAAAAAACUAGAAAUACCAGAUGGACCUGGCAGUAAUUAAUGCACAGCAAGUUGAACCUUUUACCUGCCAGAUCACUUUGUGUGCCAUAGACAACUAUAAUUGAAAUGUGAUUUAGCUGAACGCUGGGUUCCACGGUUGACUUUUCCUUGAGUUUCUCUGAUGCUGGGGGAUGGAACCGAGGUCCUAAAGCAUGUGAAGUAUGGGCUCUACCAACUUUAAUUGUCUCCCAGCAUCAUUUAAAAAAUCUCCUACAGAAAGGCCAACUGUGCCAAUGAGAUGGCUGGAAGCUAAACCAAGAACACCUGUGUGAACCGUGGAAUCUCAACGUCAGAGAGGACCUACAAGGAUCUCAGGGGACAGUUACUAAGUUCUCGGCAGACACAACAUCUUUGUAUGUGGUGCUGAGGAUCGAACCCGGGCCGCACGCAUGCCAGGUGAGCACGCUACCGCUUGAGCCACAUCCCCAGCCCAAGAAGAAAGUUCUGGGAAGGGAAAGUUUUAGAUGGGACAGUACUUGGGAAUAUCUCCAAGAAAGGUGUCUGAAUGAACACUUCCAGCAGGGAGACUGCAAGAGCAGGUGGUUCCUAAAAAGAGAUGGUCAGAGAAGAACUGCAGAUUUGGGCUUUUUCAUGGAUGUGGCCUCUGGCCUAGGUGGUUGAGAAGUU
This is a long non-coding RNA of Marmota monax (woodchuck), 765 nucleotides long. RefSeq lists it as uncharacterized. The transcript has 4 exons. The record is from RefSeq and is a predicted model, not a curated record. Lineage: Eukaryota; Metazoa; Chordata; Mammalia; Rodentia; Sciuridae.